UACGUAGGGGGCAAGCGUUGUCCGGAAUCAUUGGGCGUAAAGCGCGUGUAGGCGGCUCGGUAAGUCUGCUGUGAAAGUCCAGGGCUCAACCCUGGGAUGCCGGUGGAUACUGCAGGGCUAGAGUCCGGAAGAGGCGAGUGGAAUUCCAGGUGUAGCGGUGAAAUGCGUAGAGAUCUGGAGGAACACCAAUUGCGAAGGCAGCUCGCUGGGACGUUACUGACGCUGAGACGCGAAAGCGUGGGGAGCAAACAGG
This 253-nucleotide ribosomal RNA is filed under the name uncultured bacterium. RNAcentral describes it as "partial 16S ribosomal RNA". It matches the Rfam family "Bacterial small subunit ribosomal RNA", at positions 524 to 776 of the family's 1533-position model. The record is from RNAcentral.